Molecule: non-coding RNA, 170 nt
Filed under: Palpitomonas bilix
Lineage: Eukaryota
Source: RNAcentral
GGAGCCUUUUACUGGUGGUCGUGGAUGCAUCACCUGGAAACGAUUUUGCUGCACGAUGUUCACAUGGACGAUUGGGACGACAAAGUGCUCUGGUGGAAUGUGCAGUUUCCCACACCGGUCUUACAAGCCUUUUUGGAAUACCCCCCAUGGGUACGAGCGUGCCUGCAAUA